CAGGAAUGAAGGACUCACCCUCAGCAGCUGGGAGUGCUGCUGGCAGACGGCCCUCAGCUGUGACCCUCUUUGGGGAUGGCAAUGGCUAAGGAGAGCCACUGUGCCCAAAGUUGUGCCCUUUCCUGUGGUGGCCAAUAUCUAAUGACUGACUGAGGACCUCUCACAGCUUUUAGCAAGCCUAUUUUUGCAUUGUGAAUCUCCAAGAGGGGAUGCCGUAUACAGCCCUUCCAAAAAGCAUUUGACCACAGAGCACUCCUUCAUUAGGAGGAAGAGCAAUGACUUGGAAUUGACAGGAGUUUGUAAAAUGCUUCUGGACUCCAUGGCAAAUAGAAAAAGGGAAAACGAGGGGAUUUCACUCCCAAGUGCUACAAAGCAGUAUGUACAGAAAGGGCGACCAGCCUGAAUUUCAAUUAAGGUGAAGACCAAUUAUUGUAUACCAGGAACAUUUAAAGCAUUUUAAGUACAUCAUGUCAUUUCAUCUUUAUCAACAAAUAUCUCCAUUUUACAGAUGAAGAAACUAAAGCUCAGAGUUAUACAACCAGUAAGUGGAGGAGUCUGC
This 559-nucleotide long non-coding RNA is filed under the name Equus caballus (horse). Its description in RNAcentral is "lncRNA (ENSECAG00000056357.1)". The record is from RNAcentral. Lineage: Eukaryota; Metazoa; Chordata; Mammalia; Perissodactyla; Equidae.